CCUACGGGGCGCAGCAGUGGGGAAUAUUGGACAAUGGGCGAAAGCCUGAUCCAGCCAUGUCGCGUGUGUGAAGAAGGCCUUCGGGUUGUAAAGCACUUUCAGUGGGGAAGAAAGCCUUGGGGCUAAUACCCUCGAGGAAGGACAUCACCCACAGAAGAAGCACCGGCUAACUCCGUGCCAGCAGCCGCGGUAAUACGGAGGGUGCGAGCGUUAAUCGGAAUUACUGGGCGUAAAGCGCGCGUAGGCGGUCUGAUAAGCCGGUUGUGAAAGCCCCGGGCUCAACCUGGGAACGGCAUCCGGAACUGUCAGGCUAGAGUGCAGGAGAGGAAGGUAGAAUUCCCGGUGUAGCGGUGAAAUGCGUAGAGAUCGGGAGGAAUACCAGUGGCGAAGGCGGCCUUCUGGACUGACACUGACGCUGAGGUGCGAAAGCGUGGGUAGCAAACAGGAUUAGAUACCCCGGUAGUC
RNAcentral lists this ribosomal RNA (465 nucleotides) under Vreelandella stevensii. RNAcentral describes it as "partial 16S ribosomal RNA". It matches the Rfam family "Bacterial small subunit ribosomal RNA", at positions 338 to 795 of the family's 1533-position model. Lineage: Bacteria; Pseudomonadati; Pseudomonadota; Gammaproteobacteria; Oceanospirillales; Halomonadaceae. The record is from RNAcentral.